GGUCAGUACCCUGUCUAGCUUGACAGUAGUUUAUGAGGAUGAAGACUGUGGCACCGGAGUUUAAGCCCAACAUGAUCGGGGUGGACCUCAUCGAACGGUUCACGAAAUCCAGGAAUGGCAACAGCUGGUGUCUGACUGCGACCGAUCACUUUACCAAUUGGGUGGAGGCAAUACCCAUUAAGAUCAGUAAAGGAAGAGAACGUGCUUAACUCUAAAUUCCCUUCUGUAACCCAUUAAAAAUGGUGCUUGUAACCCAAAAUGUAUUUUCGUUUUGUAUGAUACCCAUCAAGGACAAGACUGGCGAGGCCACUUCCAAGGUGAUGAUGGACAUCUUCAACACCCAUGUUUCUCCUGAGGUCAUCUUGAGUGACCGAGGUCAUGAACGCUGGAAUAAGGUAUCGCUUUCCUACCCCCUCCCUCAUGUUUGGUGAAUGGACCAACCAGACCCUCAAGACUGCCAUGGGCAAGUCCCUUGACGGGUACCAGGAAUGGUGGGAGAACAACCUGAAGGUAAUUCUCUUUGCACACAACAGCAGCGUCCAGGCCUCCACCGAGGACAGACGGGAGCCGCAGCUGUUGACUGAGGUAAACAAUGCAAUUGUAUAUACAAUCAUUGCCUAUACUGUAGUCUUUCAAAUUUGUGAUUGACUUAGUGUUGUUGUUAGUCUAUUGCUAUUUUUGUAUAAGGUACUUUCAGAUCACUGAAACCCCACUUGAUGUGGUGGAAGAUGUCAAACCUGAUCAGAACGCCUUCGAGGACCACCUUCAGGCAUGGACUGAGAAGGAUGUGGAGGUUUUUGACCAGGUGAGACUGAACAUCGACAAGGCACAGGAGAAACAGAAGGAGAGCUACCGGAGCAGAAUCAAGAAGGGGAACAAGUGCUUCGACAUCCAGGCAAAUUACUUGGUUUGGAAGAAGGACGAAAGGAAGGCGAGACCUGGGAAACCUAGCUGCUCUUUCGCUCCUAGCUGGGGUGACCAUCUGUUAAGGGUUACCUCGGUGGAAGACAACAAUCUUCUUCAGUUGGAGCAGUUGGACGGUCAACCACUGAAAGCCCUGACGCCCUACACUUCAGUGAAGCCCAAUAGACAAAGACCAUCGACUGUCCGAGCCCCCCAGGAGGUAUCCCAUCCGACUGAGCCAGUGAGUUUGGAUUAGUCUGAUUCUCUGUGCUCUGAGUCGGAGGGGGACCAGCUUGAGAUGUGGAUCCACCUGCUGUCCUCCAUUACCAACCAUCCUCCAACUUUUCAUUACAUCAUCUACAGCUACUGUUAUUGUCAUGUUGUCAUUAUCUGCUAAGAACAUUUUCUUGCUCUAUCAUACUGGGCACGUAAUAUGUGAGAUACACAGAUUAACUAAAAACACUAGCACUGCAAACACUCAGAACAAAGAGAGCAGCAGUGCCUGGACUUUGCAGUCUCCCGCUUCAAGUCCCCCUUUCGAGACUGGCUGCCUGUUGAGAACAAGUGACAGGCAGAACCUCCCACCCACACAGCAACCACCUCCUCUAUAUUCCACACACCAGAAUUCAGUAUUUUAGUCUUUGAUUGCCAUGUCAGUGUACAAAAAAUCUGUGAAAAUAAAUGAAUGACACAACUGUACCAAAAUUCUUAAAUAAUGGCAGGUUGGUUUUCACAGCUGUUUCAUAAGGUGUAAAUUAUUGUAAGUUGUAAGGUAUCCUUUGAUGGUAUUUAUUUGUUCCACAUUAUUCAUUGUUGUAUUCUACGACCUACAAUAGAUGCAUAUAUAUCAACCUCAAGUGUGUACUAAUGAGCUAUGCGAGACAGAAAAAAAUGAAUCAUAAUAGAGGACUACUGAACUUGUAUUAUUUCAGUGUAGAUAAGGGAAGUGGAGGUUAAAAUAAAAACAUCACAGCCAGACAAGCCAGUGUAUGAAUCAAACGGAUUUGCAUAUGAAUGGAGGGGAAAUUAGCUGACUUUGUGAUCUGUAAUGUAAGUAACUUGAAUGUGUCAAGCAGAUUACACGUUUUCUUUGCUAUUUCCGAAACGUAGCAACGUUUAAGACAUGGAUUUCAUGUUGUAAUGUUAACAAGGUACCCAAAAGUAGUUUGAAGUAAUGUUUUCAUUUUAUUAGCUAAAGAAAACUUGUUUAAACAGCGAAAUUGUCGCGGAAAUCAGCCUUGUUUGCAUAGCGAUGAUGAGAAAACGUAACAUAGGCUGUAAUGAUCUCCAAAAUGUGACUCAUUAGGUCAUCACACCGUUGAUAUAGCAACGGACGCUAAUAGUUUAUCGAAUCCCAUUGUGACGCAGAGGGGACACUUUUUGGCUGGGGGACAUUAUUUGGCAUGACAGGCCCUGCCCGGUCGUUAUUAGGCCAUGAUUACUACAAGUUUAGAUAGCUGGCUAGACUAACUUACCAAUAAAAAAAUUGUUAGCUGACAUGGCUAAUUGAGUGACUGUAUAGAACACUCCUAAGUUAGCUCAAUGGUAAGUUUGAAGCAUCAGUUAUUCUCUAAAUGUAUCUAUACUGUGACGACCCUCCCACUCUGUCUGCCGUAUUCUCUCUCUUUGCUCUUGUUUC
Coregonus clupeaformis (lake whitefish) is the source of this 2542-nucleotide long non-coding RNA. RefSeq lists it as uncharacterized. The transcript has 7 exons. Lineage: Eukaryota; Metazoa; Chordata; Actinopteri; Salmoniformes; Salmonidae. The record is from RefSeq and is a predicted model, not a curated record.